Molecule: long non-coding RNA, 1071 nt
Organism: Pseudoliparis swirei
Lineage: Eukaryota; Metazoa; Chordata; Actinopteri; Perciformes; Liparidae
Exons: 2
Source: RefSeq, a predicted model, not a curated record
CCGACUGGGACCGGGGAUCGAAGACGGGCCAUCUUGCUGCGAGCAGAAUAUCCCAUCAAAUGUAACCUCAUGUUUGCACCAACCAUGAAAGCCACGAGCGCCAGUGGAGGGACGGAAAAAAGAAUACAAGGACCCAAUCAGAUCUGAGUCCAAAGGCCUUCGUUGAACAGAGAGUCUGACCUCUUGAUAUCACGUGAAGUGUCACUGAAGAUUACCUGAGGACGCCUAUAAGCCAGAUCCAUUUCCUCCUUGGGAAUACAGAUAGUAACCAAAACAGCUGUGCUCUCAAUUCCCGGACUACAAUACGAUUUAAUACGCCAAAAAAAUAUUUGUUAUGUCCUAAAUAAUACAUAGUAUGUCAAUCAUGCAGUAUGCAAGCCAGGAUGCGUUUCUGCCUAUUCUGACCCACAAUCGUAAGCGCAGCACAUAUUCAGAGGGUCAGAGUUCAAGGUACCAUGUUAUGAGGAAGUAGGAUGUCCCAAUUGAAUAUACUUAAUGCAACAGUAUGUACUUUGUGAAGGCAGCUGCAUUAUGUACUAAAAGUCUCCCAAAAAAAGAAGCCAUUUGGAAGGCGGCUCAUGUUUUUAUUUCAGACAGAUGGUGUUUCAUUCAAGUUUUAUAGAAUAUUUCACUCCAAAAAUGUGCCAUUGCAUCACACAACAAAGAACAGAUAUAGAGGCAAUAGAGAAGAAAAGACAGCAGACCAGCACAAGUUAUAUUGAUUUAUAAUGGUAGACAGGUUUAUUAGCUGUGGGUCCAACUUCCUGCAGCUGCCCAGUCUGUGUUUGGAAGAACAGCAUUGGGCAGAAGGUGUUAUUAUUAUAGUAGUAUCAAACACGGGGGCUUUAAUCUUCAUUUUAAAUAAAACAAAUAUCGUUAAAUAAAAACACAUAGCAGUCAGUAUUCACUUGGCUCACCAGGGGGCCAUAUUAGAUCUUUAGGGGAGCCACUUCAAGUGUGUGAUAAUUCCUCCAAGCUGUUAUUUCCACUGUUUGUCACACAGUAAUUCAGUGUGUUGUGGCUGCUGUUGGCCGAGCAUCUCGUGAGUGAAAUAAAAAGCAUUUAUAAUCA